AGUGAACGCUGGCGGUAGGCCUAACACAUGCAAGUCGAACGGCAGCACAGGAGAGCUUGCUCUCUGGGUGGCGAGUGGCGGACGGGUGAGGAAUACAUCGGAAUCUACUCUGUCGUGGGGGAUAACGUAGGGAAACUUACGCUAAUACCGCAUACGACCUACGGGUGAAAGCAGGGGACCUUCGGGCCUUGCGCGAUUGAAUGAGCCGAUGUCGGAUUAGCUAGUUGGCGGGGUAAAGGCCCAACAAGGCGACGAUCCGUAGCUGGUCUGAGAGGAUGAUCAGCCACACUGGAACUGAGACACGGUCCAGACUCCUACGGGAGGCAGCAGUGGGGAAUAUUGGACAAUGGGCGCAAGCCUGAUCCAGCCAUACCGCGUGGGUGAAGAAGGCCUUCGGGUUGUAAAGCCCCUUUGUUGGGAAAGAAAUCCAGCUGGCUAAUACCCGGUUGGGAUGACGGUACCCAAAGAAUAAGCACCGGCUAACUUCGUGCCAGCAGCCGCGGUAA
RNAcentral lists this ribosomal RNA (506 nucleotides) under uncultured bacterium. Its description in RNAcentral is "partial 16S ribosomal RNA". It matches the Rfam family "Bacterial small subunit ribosomal RNA", at positions 29 to 523 of the family's 1533-position model. The record is from RNAcentral.